RNAcentral lists this ribosomal RNA (287 nucleotides) under uncultured microorganism. Its description in RNAcentral is "partial 16S ribosomal RNA". It matches the Rfam family "Archaeal small subunit ribosomal RNA", at positions 330 to 618 of the family's 1478-position model. The record is from RNAcentral.
GUGCAGCAGUCGCGAAACCUCUGCAAUGCGCGCAAGCGCGACAGGCUACCCCGAGUGCCGCCCGCUGAGGGCGGCUUUCUCCGGUGUAAUGAGUCGGAGGAAUAAGGGGAGGGCAAGCCUGGUGUCAGCCGCCGCGGUAAGUACCAGCUCCCCGAAGUGGUGGGGACGGUUAUUGGGCCUAAAGCGUCCGUAGCCGGUUCGGCAAGUCCUCCGUUAAAGCCAACGAUCCAAUCGUUGGAAUGCGGGGGAUACGUGCCGGACUAGGGGGCGGGAGAGGCCGACGGUAC